This 255-nucleotide ribosomal RNA is filed under the name uncultured Leptotrichia sp. RNAcentral's name for it is "partial 16S ribosomal RNA". It matches the Rfam family "Bacterial small subunit ribosomal RNA", at positions 99 to 354 of the family's 1533-position model. Lineage: Bacteria; Fusobacteriati; Fusobacteriota; Fusobacteriia; Fusobacteriales; Leptotrichiaceae. The record is from RNAcentral.
CGGACGGGUGAGUAACGCGUAAGAACUUGCCCUUUAGACUGGGAUAACAGAGGGAAACUUCUGAUAAUACUGGAUAAGUUAGUAUAUCGCAUGACAUGCAAAUGAAAGCUACGGCACUAAGGGAGAGCUUUGCGUCCUAUUAGCUAGUUGGUAAGGUAAGAGCUUACCAAGGCGAUGAUAGGUAGCCGGCCUGAGAGGGUGGACGGCCACAAGGGGACUGAGAUACGGCCCUUACUCCUACGGGAGGCAGCAGGA